RNAcentral lists this ribosomal RNA (791 nucleotides) under Cronobacter sakazakii. RNAcentral describes it as "partial 23S ribosomal RNA". It matches the Rfam family "Bacterial large subunit ribosomal RNA", at positions 734 to 1527 of the family's 2925-position model. The record is from RNAcentral. Lineage: Bacteria; Pseudomonadati; Pseudomonadota; Gammaproteobacteria; Enterobacterales; Enterobacteriaceae.
CCAUGGGCAGGUUGAAGGUUGGGUAACACUAACUGGAGGACCGAACCGACUAAUGUUGAAAAAUUAGCGGAUGACCUGUGGCUGGGGGUGAAAGGCCAAUCAAACCGGGAGAUAGCUGGUUCUCCCCGAAAGCUAUUUAGGUAGCGCCUCGUGAACUCAUCUCCGGGGGUAGAGCACUGUUUCGGCUAGGGGGCCAUCCCGGCUUACCAACCCGAUGCAAACUGCGAAUACCGGAGAAUGUUAUCACGGGAGACACACGGCGGGUGCUAACGUCCGUCGUGAAGAGGGAAACAACCCAGACCGCCAGCUAAGGUCCCAAAGUCAUGGUUAAGUGGGAAACGAUGUGGGAAGGCCCAGACAGCCAGGAUGUUGGCUUAGAAGCAGCCAUCAUUUAAAGAAAGCGUAAUAGCUCACUGGUCGAGUCGGCCUGCGCGGAAGAUGUAACGGGGCUAAACCAUGCACCGAAGCUGCGGCAGCGACACUAUGUGUUGUUGGGUAGGGGAGCGUUCUGUAAGCCUGCGAAGGUGUGCUGUGAGGCAUGCUGGAGGUAUCAGAAGUGCGAAUGCUGACAUAAGUAACGAUAAAGCGGGUGAAAAGCCCGCUCGCCGGAAGACCAAGGGUUCCUGUCCAACGUUAAUCGGGGCAGGGUGAGUCGACCCCUAAGGCGAGGCCGAAAGGCGUAGUCGAUGGGAAACAGGUUAAUAUUCCUGUACUUGGUGUUACUGCGAAGGGGGGACGGAGAAGGCUAUGUCGGCCGGGCGACGGUUGUCCCGGUUUAAGCGUGUAGGCUG